AAUAGAUGACGUCGUUGACUUUUUCACAUAUGUUUGAUCAUUCGUUUUAUUCAAAAAAUUUACAUAAUUAUAAUUUAUUUUGUUACGAGUUGUUUUAUCACUUAUAGUAUUUUAAGUGUGAUUUAUAUCUUAUACAUUUGAAUAAAAUUUUUAAAUAAGAUGAAUGGUCAAACAUGUGAGAAAAAAAUAUCGGCGUCAUCUAUU
This 204-nucleotide microRNA precursor is filed under the name Oryza meridionalis. Its description in RNAcentral is "MIR812 microRNA precursor family". It matches the Rfam family "MIR812 microRNA precursor family". The record is from Rfam by way of RNAcentral. Lineage: Eukaryota; Viridiplantae; Streptophyta; Magnoliopsida; Poales; Poaceae.